Molecule: ribosomal RNA, 256 nt
Filed under: uncultured bacterium
Lineage: Bacteria
Description: partial 16S ribosomal RNA
Rfam family: Bacterial small subunit ribosomal RNA
Source: RNAcentral
GGGGAAUAUUGCACAAUGGGCGAAAGCCUGAUGCAGCAACGCCGCGUGAGUGAUGAAGGUCUUCGGAUUGUAAAGCUCUGUCUUUUGGGACGAUAAUGACGGUACCAAAGGAGGAAGCCACGGCUAACUACGUGCCAGCAGCCGCGGUAAUACGUAGGUGGCGAGCGUUGUCCGGAUUUACUGGGCGUAAAGGGUGCGUAGGCGGAUGUUUAAGCGAGAUGUGAAAUACCCGGGCUUAACUUGGGUGCUGCAUUUC